GAUGAACGCUGGCGGCGUGCUUAACACAUGCAAGUCGAACGAAGCAUUUAAGACAGAUUCCUUCGGUUUGAAGUCUUUUAUGACUGAGUGGCGGACGGGUGAGUAACGCGUGGGUAACCUGCCUCAUACAGGGGGAUAGCAGCUGGAAACGGCUGGUAAUACCGCAUAAGCGCACAGUACCACAUGGUACAGUGUGAAAAACUCCGGUGGUAUGAGAUGGACCCGCGUCUGAUUAGCUUGUUGGCGGGGUAACGGCCCACCAAGGCGACGAUCAGUAGCCGACCUGAGAGGGUGACCGGCGACAUUGGGACUGAGACACGGCGCAGACUCCUACGGGAGGCAGCAGUGGGGAAUAUUGCACAAUGGAGGAAACUCUGAUGCAGCGACGCCGCGUGAGUGAAGAAGUAGUUCGCUAUGUAAAGCUCUAUCAGCAGGGAAGAUAGUGACGGUACCUGACUAAGAAGCUCCGGCUAAAUACGUG
Molecule: ribosomal RNA, 481 nt
Filed under: uncultured bacterium
Lineage: Bacteria
Description: partial 16S ribosomal RNA
Rfam family: Bacterial small subunit ribosomal RNA
Source: RNAcentral